Molecule: transfer RNA, 77 nt
Filed under: Alphaproteobacteria bacterium
Lineage: Bacteria; Pseudomonadati; Pseudomonadota; Alphaproteobacteria
Also listed under: 1 other name
Description: tRNA-Pro
Rfam family: tRNA
About the family: Transfer RNA (tRNA) molecules are approximately 80 nucleotides in length.
Source: RNAcentral
CGGAGCGUAGCGCAGUCUGGUAGCGCACUUGAUUUGGGAUCAAGUGGUCGUAGGUUCGAAUCCUAUCGCUCCGACCA